This is a long non-coding RNA of Magnolia sinica, 232 nucleotides long. RefSeq lists it as uncharacterized. The record is from RefSeq and is a predicted model, not a curated record. The transcript has 2 exons. Lineage: Eukaryota; Viridiplantae; Streptophyta; Magnoliopsida; Magnoliales; Magnoliaceae.
CAAGGAACAAGAUUUGGACCAUUGAUGAUGAUCCUCCACCUCUUCAUCCUGCUGAGUACAUUGGCAAAUCUUCUCUAGACUUGCUACUGAAACCAUCUGAAGAGGAUCUGAAGUGUUGGCCCCACUGGGCAUGUUUGCAUGCGGGUGGCACUAAUCAAAUCAGAUAAGUUUAGCCUGAUGUAUUUUGUUUUCUAUGGGGAGACGAAAUGAAAUGAAUUGAUACAGUUGACCC